UACAGAGGGUGCGAGCGUUAAUCGGAAUUACUGGGCGUAAGGGGUGUGUAGGUGGUGAUAUAAGUCAGAUGUGAAAUCCCUGGGCUUAACCUGGGAAUGGCAUUUGAAACUGUAUGGCUUGAGUGCAGUAGAGGGAAGUGGAAUUUCCGGUGUAGCGGUGAAAUGCGUAGAUAUCGGAAGGAACACCAGUGGCGAAAGCGGCUUCCUGGACUGUAACUGACACUGAGACACGAAAGCGUGGGGAUCAAACAGG
RNAcentral lists this ribosomal RNA (253 nucleotides) under uncultured bacterium. Its description in RNAcentral is "partial 16S ribosomal RNA". It matches the Rfam family "Bacterial small subunit ribosomal RNA", at positions 524 to 776 of the family's 1533-position model. The record is from RNAcentral.